RNAcentral lists this ribosomal RNA (253 nucleotides) under uncultured bacterium. RNAcentral's name for it is "partial 16S ribosomal RNA". It matches the Rfam family "Bacterial small subunit ribosomal RNA", at positions 524 to 776 of the family's 1533-position model. The record is from RNAcentral.
UACGAAGGGAGCGAGCGUUGUUCGGAAUCACUGGGCUUAAAGCGUACGUAGGCGGUCAAACAAGUCAGGAGUGAAAUCCCAGGGCUUAACCCUGGAAUGCCUUUUGAAACUGUUUGACUAGUGUCCCGGAGAGGUUGACGGAAUAUCCAGUGUAGAGGUGAAAUUCGCAGAUAUUGGAUGGAACACCAGUGGCGAAAGCGGUCAACUGGACGGGUACAGACGCUGAUGUACGAAAGCGUGGGGAGCAAACAGG